Molecule: transfer RNA, 72 nt
Filed under: Camelus bactrianus (Bactrian camel)
Lineage: Eukaryota; Metazoa; Chordata; Mammalia; Artiodactyla; Camelidae
Also listed under: 2 other names
Rfam family: tRNA
About the family: Transfer RNA (tRNA) molecules are approximately 80 nucleotides in length. Their secondary structure includes four short double-helical elements and three loops (D, anti-codon, and T loops). Further hydrogen bonds mediate the characteristic L-shaped molecular structure. tRNAs have two regions of fundamental functional importance: the anti-codon, which is responsible for specific mRNA codon recognition, and the 3' end, to which the tRNAs corresponding amino acid is attached (by aminoacyl-tRNA synthetases). tRNAs cope with the degeneracy of the genetic code in two manners: having more than one tRNA (with a specific anti-codon) for a particular amino acid; and 'wobble' base-pairing, i.e. permitting non-standard base-pairing at the 3rd anti-codon position.
Source: Rfam by way of RNAcentral
GGGGGAAUAGCUCAGUGGUAGGGCAUAUGCUUAGCAAGCAGGAGGUCCUGGACUCAACCUCCAGCACCUCCA